AUAAUGCAAACUCAUCAGGCUGCAAAGCAGCCGGGCCUUACGGCAGCAGAUUAUACCUACAUCUGCGGGACAAAA
This 75-nucleotide non-coding RNA is filed under the name unclassified sequences. Its description in RNAcentral is "NiCo sequence". It matches the Rfam family "NiCo (Nickel/Cobalt) riboswitch aptamer". The record is from RNAcentral.